RNAcentral lists this ribosomal RNA (2954 nucleotides) under activated sludge metagenome. Its description in RNAcentral is "bacterial LSU rRNA". It matches the Rfam family "Bacterial large subunit ribosomal RNA". The record is from RNAcentral.
AGGGUCUAUGAUGAAUGACUGGGCAGACUAAGGCGAUGAAGGACGUGGUAAGCAGCGAUAUGCUCCGGGGAGUCGCAAACAGGCUUUGAUCCGGAGAUUUCCGAAUGGGCAAACCCAUCUCGAGUUAUAUCGGGAUAUCUUGCGUUGAAUUCAUAGGCGUAAGAAGCGAAACGGAGUGAAUUGAAACAUCUAAGUAACUCCAGGAAAAGAAACCGUAAGAGAUUCCCUCAGUAGCGGCGAGCGAAGAGGGAAAAGUCUAAACCAUUGUCAUCGCAAGAUGUCAAUGGGGUUGCGGGACCUUAAUGUGGGAUUGUCGAGGGAUAGCAGAAGCGUUUGGGAAAGCGCGCCAUAGAAGGUGAAAGUCCUGUAUGCGAAAUCUCAAGACACCCUAGAGGCAUCCCAAGUAGCGCGGGGCACGGGAAAUCUUGCGCGAAUCAGGCCCGACCAUGGGCUAAGACUAAAUACUAGAGUCUGACCGAAAGUGGACAAGUACCGCGAGGGAAAGUUGAAAAGAACCCCGGUGAGGGGAGUGAAAUAGAACCUGAAAUUAUAGACCUACAAGCGGUCGGAGGCCUAUGCACAUCGCAAGGUGUGAAUGGCUGACGGCGUACCUUUUGCAUAAUGGACCGACGAGUUACUGUGCGUUGCAAGCUUAACUCCCUCUGGGAGGAAGGCGUAGCGAAAGCGAGUCUGAAUAGGGCGCCUUAGUAACGUAUAGUAGACCCGAAACUACGUGAUCUACCCAUGUCCAGAUUGAAGCUUAGCGAAAGCUAAGUGGAGGAUCGAACGCAUAAUUGUUGAAAAAAUUAGCGAUGAGAUGUGGGUCGGAGUGAAAGGCUUAUCAAACGUAGCAAUUGCUGGUUCUCCCCGAAAUAGUUCUAGGACUAGCCUCAGACAAUGAAUAACGGGGGUAGAGUUACCGAAUAGACUAGGGGCCCUACCAGGCCACCAAAUCUAACCAAACUCCGAAUACCGUUAUUUUUACUCUGGGAGUCAGUCGCUGAGGGCUAAACUUCAGCGUCAAAAGGGGAAAAGCCCAGACCACCGGUUAAGGUCCCUAAUAUAGGCUAAGUGGUAAAGGAAGUGAGAUCGCUUAAACAGCCAGGAUGUUGGCUCAGAGGCAGCCAUCAUUUAAAGAGUGCGUAACAGCUCACUGGUCGAGCGAUUUUGCGCCGAAAAUGAACGGGGCUUAAGCCUAUAACCGAAUCCGUGGCUUUUCUUGGCAUUCGUGCCAAGGAAGGGGUAGGGGAGCGUUCUGUUACGCGAUGAAGGUGUACCGAAAGGAACACUGGAGCUGACAGAAGUGAGCAUGUCGGUAUGAGUAGCGAAAACUACGGUAAGAAACCGUAGCGCCGAAAAUCCAAGGUUUCCUGGGGAAGGUUAAUCCGCUCAGGGUUAGUCGAUCCUAAGCCGAGGCCCAAAGGCGUAGGCGAUGGAUAACAGGUUAAUAUUCCUGUACCGGCUGUGAGGCGUUAUCAUUUUAGAGAGGACGCAGGAGGAUAGGUGAGCGAAGUGUUGGAUGUCUUCGUCCAAACCCGUAGCUCUGCCGAGAGGUAGAGUGAGAGGUGAUGGGGAGCCCGCGACACGUCAAAGGUGAAGUCAUUGAUUCCAUGCUGCCGAGAAAAGCACUCUAAAAGAGUCUCAUAGCCGAUCGUACCGUAAUCCAACACAGGUAGAUACCCAGAAUAUGGGAAGGCGCUCGAGAGAACUCUCUUUAAGGAACUAGGCAAAAUGGCUCCGUAACUUCGGGAUAAGGAGUGCUUAGGGGGUGUAGUUGCACAAACGAAGCCCUUCUGAGUCACAGUAAAGAGGCCCGGCUGACUGUUUAGUAAAAACACAUCACUCUGCAAAGUCGUAAGACGACGUAUAGGGUGUGACACCUGCCCGGUGCUGGAAGGUUAACAGGAGGAGUUAGCUCGUGAGGGCGAAGCUCCGAAUCGAAGCCCCAGUAAACGGCGGCCGUAACUAUAACGGUCCUAAGGUAGCGAAAUUCCUUGUGGGGUAAGUUCCCACGCGCACGAAUGGUGUAACAAGUUGGGCGCUGUCUCAAAGAGAGGCUCGGCGAAAUUGUAGUGGCGGUGAAGAUGCCGUCUACCCGCAUCUAGACGAAAAGACCCCGGAACCUUUACUGUAAUCUGGUAUUGAGUUUUGGUGCUGUUUGUGUAGGAUAGGUGGGAGGCUUUGAAGGGAGGGCGUUAGCUCUCCUGGAGCCAACGGUGAAAUACCACCCUAACGGUACUUAGAUUCUAACCUCGACCUUUGAAGCAAGGCGGGGGACAUUGCCAGAUGGGCAGUUUGACUGGGGCGGUUCCCGUCCAAAUAUUAACGACGGGGCCCAAAGGUUCCCUCAGGUCGGUCGGCAAUCGACUGUGGAGUGUAAAGGCAUAAGGGAGCUUAACUGUGAGUUCGACAGAACGAGCAGGUACGAAAGUAGGGCUUAGUGAUCCGGUGGUUGAUUAUGGGAUUGCCAUCGCUCAACGGACAAUAGGUACUCCGGGGAUAACAGGCUGAUCGCGCUCGAGAGUUCAUAUCGACAGCGCGGAUUGGCACCUCGAUGUCGGCUCAUCCUAUCCUGGGGCUGGACAAGGUCCCAAGGGUCCGGCUGUUCGCCGGUUAAAAGGGUACGUGAGCUGGGUUUAGAACGUCGUGAGACAGUUCGGUCUCUAUCUGGUGCGGGCGUACGAUACUUGAAGAGGAGCUCUCCUUAGUACGAGAGGACCGGGAGAGACGAACCUCUGGUGUUCCAGUUAUCCUGCCAAGGGUACACGCUGGGUAGCCAUGUUCGGAAGGGAUAAGCGCUGAAUGCAUAUAAGUGCGAAGCCUCCCUCAAGAUUAGGUAUCGAUCCUCCGCAAGGGGGUGAAGGCACCUAGUAGACUACUAGGUUGAUAGGCUGCAGGUGUAAGGCCCGUGAGGGUUUAAGCUAAGCAGUACUAAUUUGCCAAACGCUUGGCCA